Long non-coding RNA from Homo sapiens (human), 745 nucleotides. NCBI's taxonomy places the organism in Eukaryota, Metazoa, Chordata, Mammalia, Primates, Hominidae. The record is from Ensembl.
AGAAACAAUUUUGGCCUCAGGCAGGUCCAGGGAAAUCAAAUCCACCUACCACCUAGAUCUUCAGAUCCACAACACACAGCAAGUUUCAUGCCUGUCAACUGAUGUGCCUUAAGGGAGCAAUUCUCCAACUCUCAGGAUUAACCUCUACCGUCUCCACCAUCUCCACCAUCAUCAGGACUCAGGUCAUCUGUUUACAGCUCUCUCUGUGUCUGAUAACUUUGACCCAUGUUAGCUUGGAGCUCCAGGAUCAGGGAUCUUUCUGAGGCACAACCAUGCAACCUUUGUGUCCAGUGACAUGGCCAGUGAAGAUCUACAGUUUGAUCUUCCUUGCUUUUCCUGUUCUGCCAAGAUGACUCAGGAGUCUCAGUAUUCCAGAAUGUUCAGCUACAAGAUUGUGGAGUUUCCGUCAGACUGGUUAUGUGAACCAGGACUGGUUAUGUGAACCAGGACCUUCCCCCAACUACUUAAUUGAAACCUGCACUGGACCUCCAGCAGCAGUGAGAAAUAACUUACCAGCUAUCAAGAAAAGUUUUAAUCUUUGUCAUGAUAUUUUUUCCACUCAGCCUCCAUGGGGUUCAAGCACUCACUCAAUAGACAGCCUAUACUGUAAAUAUAAUUCUGCCCCUAUAGCUCAUGCUUAUUUAUGUAAAUUGUUUCUCCUUAUUUGGAAGACCAGGAAAAUUUAUGCUCAGAGCUUAAAAGUCUCCCAAGUAAAAUAAAAUUGGUAUUGAAAAUCUUGUAUAAA